GCCUGCAUGAAGUUGGAAUCACUAGUAAUCGCGGAUCAGCAUGCCGCGGUGAAUGCGUUCUCGGGCCUUGUACACACCGCCCGUCACACCAUGAGAGUCGGGAACACCCGAAGUCCGUAGCCUAACCGCGAAGGGGGGCGCGGCCGAAGGUGGGCUCGAUAAUUGGGGUGAAGUCGUAACAAGGUAUC
RNAcentral lists this ribosomal RNA (188 nucleotides) under uncultured bacterium. RNAcentral describes it as "partial 16S ribosomal RNA". It matches the Rfam family "Bacterial small subunit ribosomal RNA", at positions 1314 to 1500 of the family's 1533-position model. The record is from RNAcentral.